UGCCGACAAAGUUUCAGAACACCGGCCAGCGCAAGACCACCGACAUCAGACUGAGAUACAACGGCAGCGAUCCUGGAUUUGCAGGGCCAGGAUAAACAAGGGACUGUAGAGACCAUUUUGUCCCAUUCAUUAAUUUUUAGGCAGAACACAGAUCUAGAGAGAAUAGAUGACUUGCCCCAAGCUACCCCGCGAAGGAGGAGGAGGGCCACGGAUAAAUAGUGUGCUUCGAGAAUCUUAACUCUUCGGGGUCAACCUCUCCUUCUACGCCAAGGAAACAGGAUCUUCCUGCAACCCCCCGAGACAACCACCGAACAGUCACCCAACUUAGCACUAGGGCCCAGACGUUCCGUCGAUCGAAUGUACCACGCUCGAUUUCUAGGUCUUUAGCACAACGCAGGAUAAGUCGAUUGGUCGUCCCUGCCGGUCGCUGCUGAGCGCUGAUUGGCUCCGGCUUGGGAAGCGGCAGAAAAGGCCGGCGUGUGGGGCGGGCCUGGGGAAGGGACUCCCGCGGCCCUAAGGUGCUGGCGGGCGUUUGGCGUUGCAGCUGUGUGGGCGCUGGUGCGUGCGAGUAGCGCUCGAAGAAACCCAAAGGCGUCGUGGGGCUGCCGUGUGCCCCAGAGAGCACUGCAGGCCGGGUAGGGGCUAAGGCUCCCCGCAGUCUUCUGUGUGUCGUCCAGUACGCAGUUGAAAUCGUUCUCCAACCUGGCCAGUCCUCCGAGGCCCUUCUCAGGCGACCAGACUCUGUUAACAGAGUCCAUUGCUAAAACUCCUCGUUAGUAUUUACCACUCCUCCAGUCUGUGUUUUGAAGCAGUGGUUUUCAACCACUGCCCGUUUUCAGAAGAAAUCAUCUCAAGCGUCCGUGUGCUGCUAGAAGCCGGGCCGGGAGGUCUUGGUGCCGGACUCCACCCUGCAGCCCUUCCCUUUCGCCACCGCCCUGUGCUUAGAGAAACCUUAGAGUGGAGCAAUGAGUCGCCCUUGACUGAGUAACUCUUCGGGGUCAACUUCUCCUUCCACGCCAAGGAAAGGAUUCCAGGGCGAUGUUUCUGGAAAUAGAGAUCUGACCAAGCCACUGCUCUGGUGAAAAUUCAGUGGGUCCCUAGCACCUAGUGCAGCGGCUCCUAGCCUGAGUAUUGCCGUCUUUCGGUGGGGAGGGGUUGGGUUUUUUUGUAGCAUCUGUUGAUCUGAUCUCCAACAUCCUCCACGUCAAUUCCCACUCCACCCACAUCCCUUAUCCUAUACGUAAGCUUUCCAGCCACGGUGCUGGCUUGGGUGGGGGUGCGUGCGGUGCUGACACCAAAAUGGAGGUCCCGUGUUUCUGAGAGUCUCUUUCAGAGCAAUGCAAACCUGAAACUACUCCUGCCAAGAAACGAUUGCAGCUCUUCCCGGAAAAGUUAAAGCCUUUGAGAAACAAAGCUGAGGUUGAAAGUAUUAGUCCAUUUUAUAGAUGAAGAAAUGGAGGCCCAGAGAGAUCACGUGACUUAGCCAAGUCCACCAAGGCCUAGGGGAUGCCAAAUUCCAGGGUCCAGAAAGAGCUUGGGAUAAAAUGAACAUCCAAGGGGAGGGCUUUGACCUGGGCUGAGUCUGCCUGUGCCGAGUCUGCCUGUGCCAUCCAACUGGAGUCUCAAGUCCUGAGGCAGGACGUCCAGAUGCCCCAGUGCAGGGUCCUCCUGAUCAACACCUGCUCCCCUGUACUCAUUAGCAACCUCACCCACCCUACUCUCAAAGCACACUUGGCUCUCAUAUCCAGGAGCUCUGCAUCUGUAGAUUCAGCAACAGCAGAUGGAAAAUAUUCAGAAAAUAAAUUGGACAGUUAUAUUUCUAUUGAACAUGUGCAGACUUUGUUCUUGUCAUUAUUCCC
This 1859-nucleotide long non-coding RNA is filed under the name Homo sapiens (human). RNAcentral describes it as "HSALNT0390937". The record is from RNAcentral. Lineage: Eukaryota; Metazoa; Chordata; Mammalia; Primates; Hominidae.